CUAGAUGGUUGUAUGGCUGCCUUUUUAAGGAGGAAAGUCCGGACUCAUCAGAACACCAAAGCCGGAUAAUUCCCGGCGGGGGUAACCCUAGGGAAAGUGCAACAGAAAAUAAACCGCCAUUUUUGGUAAGGGUGAAAAGGUAGGGUAAGAGCCUACCGCUUUUUUGGUAACAAAAAAGGCAUUGUAAACCCCUUUGGGAGCAAGUCCAAGAAACUAUGUCUUAUGACAGGUGAUGUUCUGCACCAAGUAUGGUAGGACGCUAAAGGUAGUUGGUAACAAUUAUCUAAGAUUAAUAGCCAUAACCUUUAUAGGUACAGAAUCCGGCUUAUAGACCAUCUAGUUUU
RNAcentral lists this RNase P RNA (344 nucleotides) under Rickettsiales bacterium. Its description in RNAcentral is "RNase P RNA component class A". It matches the Rfam family "Bacterial RNase P class A". Rfam says of the family: Ribonuclease P (RNase P) is a ubiquitous endoribonuclease, found in archaea, bacteria and eukarya as well as chloroplasts and mitochondria. Its best characterised activity is the generation of mature 5'-ends of tRNAs by cleaving the 5'-leader elements of precursor-tRNAs. Cellular RNase Ps are ribonucleoproteins. Lineage: Bacteria; Pseudomonadati; Pseudomonadota; Alphaproteobacteria; Rickettsiales. The record is from RNAcentral.